RNAcentral lists this ribosomal RNA (459 nucleotides) under uncultured bacterium. RNAcentral describes it as "SSU rRNA". It matches the Rfam family "Bacterial small subunit ribosomal RNA", at positions 26 to 518 of the family's 1533-position model. The record is from RNAcentral.
AGAAUCAACGCUGGCGGCGUGCCUAACACAUGCAAGUCGAACGAGAAAGGGGAGCAAUCCCUGAGUAAAGUGGCGACCGGGUGAGUAACACGUGACUAACCUACCUUCGAGUGGGGGAUAACCUCGGGAAACCGAGGCUAAUACCGCAUAACAUCGUGAGAUCAAAGCAGUAAUGCGCUGGAAGAGGGGGUCGCGGCUGAUUAGCUAGUUGGCGGGGUAAUGGCCCACCAAGGCGAAGAUCGGUAGCCGGCCUGAGAGGGCGCACGGCCACACUGGAACUGAAACACGGUCCAGACUCCUACGGGAGGCAGCAGUGGGAAUUUUGCGCAAUGGGGGAAACCCUGACGCAGCAACGCCGCGUGGAGGAUGAAGUCCCUUGGGACGUAAACUCCUUUCGACCAAGACGAUAAUGACGGUACUGGUGGAAGAAGCACCGGCUAACUCUGUGCCAGCAGCCGC